AAGUCGUAACAAGGUAACCGUAGGUGAACCUGCGGUUGGAUCAUUAGCGUUUUUAGCAGCGCGCCGUUGUUGUGACCGUUUGUGGAGGGUAGUGUUUCGUUUUGGGUGUGGUGUUUUGGUUGGUUUGUCUUUUGGUUGGUGUUUGUCGUUUGACUUGUCGUUUGUCUUGUCGUUUGUGUUUCAUCUAUAUUUAUAUCUAUAUCUAUAUCUAUGACCACAUCGACAUGGACAUCGACAACCACAUCGACAACCACAAGCCUCAUCGACAUGGACAACCACAAACCUCAUGGACAGCCACUUCCAAAACUGAAACACGACUCUCGACUACACGCCAAUAAACACUUUUCUUUGCUUUGAUUUCGACUAAACUAAAACAACUUUUGACAACGGAUCUCUUGGCUCUC
Molecule: unclassified non-coding RNA, 404 nt
Filed under: fungal sp.
Lineage: Eukaryota; Fungi
Description: partial internal transcribed spacer region
Rfam family: Eukaryotic small subunit ribosomal RNA (bases 1-46)
Source: RNAcentral